GUUAAUUUAGUUUAAUUAUAGAAUGUGUAACUUGUAAUUACAGGGAUAAAUUAGCU
Molecule: transfer RNA, 56 nt
Filed under: Hypodontus macropi
Lineage: Eukaryota; Metazoa; Nematoda; Chromadorea; Rhabditida; Strongylidae
Description: tRNA-Thr
Source: RNAcentral